Molecule: ribosomal RNA, 632 nt
Filed under: Pseudomonas sp.
Lineage: Bacteria; Pseudomonadati; Pseudomonadota; Gammaproteobacteria; Pseudomonadales; Pseudomonadaceae
Description: partial 16S ribosomal RNA
Rfam family: Bacterial small subunit ribosomal RNA
Source: RNAcentral
GGAUUASAUACCCUGGUARUCCACGCCGUAAACGAUGUCSACUAKCCGUUGGGAUCCUUGAKAUCUUAGUGGCGCAGCUAACGCGAUAAGUCKACCGCCUGGGGAGUACGGCCGCAAGGUUAAAACUCAAAUGAAUUGACGGGGGCCCGCACAAGCGGYGGAGYAUGUGGUUUAAUUCSAAGCAACGCGAARAACCUUACCUGGCCUUGACAUGUCCGGAAUCUUGCARAGAUGCGAGAGUGCCUUCGGGAAUCGGAACACAGGUGCUGCAUGGYUGUCKUCAGCUCGUGUCGKGAGAUGUUGGGUUAAGUCCCGUAACGAGCGCAACCCUUGUCCUUAGYUACCAGCACGUYAUGGUGGGCACUCUAAGGAGACUGCCGGUGACAAACCGGAGGAAGGUGGGGAUGACGUCAAGUCAUCAUGGCCCUUACGGYCWGGGCUACACACGUGCUACAAUGGUCGGUACWGAGGGUUGCCAAGCCGCGAGGUGGAGCUAAUCCCAUAAAACCGAUCGUAGUCCGGAUCGCAGUCUGCAACUCUACUGCGUGAAGUCGGAAUCSCUAGUAAUCGUGAAUCCASAAUGUCACGGYGAAUACGUUCCCGGGCCUUGUACACACCGCCCGUCACACCAU